GGCCCCUUUUUGGGGGUGCUCGAGUGGCGAACGGGUGAGUAACACGUGGGUGAUCUGCCCUGCACUUCGGGAUAAGCUUGGGAAACUGGGUCUAAUACCGGAUAGGACCAUGGGAUGCAUGUCUUGUGGUGGAAAGCUUUUGCGGUGUGGGAUGGGCCCGCGGCCUAUCAGCUUGUUGGUGGGGUGAUGGCCUACCAAGGCGACGACGGGUAGCCGGCCUGAGAGGGUGUCCGGCCACACUGGGACUGAGAUACGGCCCAGACUCCUACGGGAGGCAGCAGUGGGGAAUAUUGCACAAUGGGCGCAAGCCUGAUGCAGCGACGCCGCGUGGGGGAUGACGGCCUUCGGGUUGUAAACCUCUUUCACCAUCGACGAAGCUGCCGGUUUUCCGGUGGUGACGGUAGGUGGAGAAGAAGCACCGGCCAACUACGUGCCAGCAGCCGCGGUAAUACGUAGGGUGCGAGCGUUGUCCGGAAUUACUGGGCGUAAAGAGCUCGUAGGUGGUUUGUCGCGUUGUUCGUGAAA
RNAcentral lists this ribosomal RNA (525 nucleotides) under Mycobacterium celatum. RNAcentral's name for it is "bacterial SSU rRNA". It matches the Rfam family "Bacterial small subunit ribosomal RNA", at positions 72 to 599 of the family's 1533-position model. Lineage: Bacteria; Bacillati; Actinomycetota; Actinomycetes; Mycobacteriales; Mycobacteriaceae. The record is from RNAcentral.